CUAGCGACUUCAGAGUUUGAUCCUGGCUCAGGAUGAACGCUGGCGGCGUGCUUAACACAUGCAAGUCGAACGAGAAUGAUGAGCUUGCUCAACAUUCUUAGUGGCGGACGGGUGAGUAACGUGUGGGCAACCUGCCCUGUAACUGGGGAAUAAUCACUGGAAACGGUGACUAAUACCGCAUGUCAUCACGAGAAGGUCAUCUUCUUGUGAGAAAAGGAAUUUAAUUUCGGUACAGGAUGGGCCCGCAUCUGAUUAGCUAGUUGGUGAGAUAACAGCCCACCAAGGCGACGAUCAGUAGCCGACCUGAGAGGGUGAUCGGCCACAUUGGGACUGAGACACGGCCCAA
RNAcentral lists this ribosomal RNA (346 nucleotides) under uncultured bacterium. RNAcentral describes it as "bacterial SSU rRNA". It matches the Rfam family "Bacterial small subunit ribosomal RNA", at positions 1 to 334 of the family's 1533-position model. The record is from RNAcentral.